AAGAUAGAGGUGCGGUUCGCUAUCAGUAGCUUUUGAAUGUCAAAUCCGGCAGGAUAAUGUCAUAAGCGAAAGGAGCUGCCGCCGAAGAGGGCCUGCCGGCAGGCGGCCACUCUGGUAAAACGGAACAAUAUCCGGUUUACUGUCGCAUUUGCGGAGAGCUAUCGGA
This 166-nucleotide non-coding RNA is filed under the name chicken gut metagenome. Its description in RNAcentral is "Lysine riboswitch". It matches the Rfam family "Lysine riboswitch aptamer". From Rfam's summary of the family: Riboswitches are metabolite binding domains within certain messenger RNAs that serve as precision sensors for their corresponding targets. Allosteric rearrangement of mRNA structure is mediated by ligand binding, and this results in modulation of gene expression. The record is from RNAcentral.